This 73-nucleotide transfer RNA is filed under the name Nemania diffusa. Its description in RNAcentral is "tRNA-Val". It matches the Rfam family "tRNA". Rfam says of the family: Transfer RNA (tRNA) molecules are approximately 80 nucleotides in length. Their secondary structure includes four short double-helical elements and three loops (D, anti-codon, and T loops). Lineage: Eukaryota; Fungi; Ascomycota; Sordariomycetes; Xylariales; Xylariaceae. RNAcentral also lists the same sequence under 1 other name. The record is from RNAcentral.
GGUUCAAUAGUGUAGUGGUUAUCACGUGAGUCUCACACACUCAAGGUCCCCGGUUCGAAACCGGGUUGAACCA